GGCUGUCCCAAGAUGCCUGCUGGCUACAGGCACAAAGCAACACAACCUGUGAUUCUAGAAGUGGGACCAUGUUUCUAGCUUUAUUCGACAACCCCAACAUUCAAGGUGUGAGGUGUCCGGGGAUGUGGCCAGCCCCUUCUAACCACUACCUUGUGAAGCCUUGCUCAAUGGCUUCCAAGGAGUGCACAUUCUUCAGCCUAAACUGAGUCCCAUGGCUCUGAUGUCCUGCCUUUGAUCAUUGGCUCAAAGAAAUGGAGCCAGUCAACCGUGCACUGAGACGUUUGGAACCACAAAAUCCACUAUAAAGUUGCUUUUCUUAGCUAUUUUAA
This 329-nucleotide long non-coding RNA is filed under the name Rattus norvegicus (Norway rat). RNAcentral's name for it is "long non-coding RNA NONRATT026588". The record is from RNAcentral. Lineage: Eukaryota; Metazoa; Chordata; Mammalia; Rodentia; Muridae.